RNAcentral lists this long non-coding RNA (807 nucleotides) under Capsicum annuum. RNAcentral describes it as "long non-coding RNA (CANN_LNC017864)". Lineage: Eukaryota; Viridiplantae; Streptophyta; Magnoliopsida; Solanales; Solanaceae. The record is from RNAcentral.
CUAGAACAAGGGUGUUUAGCCACUCAAGUUUGAAUUCAACACCAAAAACAAGUAAUUAAUCAUACCAAAAUUAAUCUUAAAGUGAAGAAGUUCAAAAGCAUGCUUAAUUUUUAAGCACUUCCUCCGCUGCUAUGCUUCUGGCUCCCCAAAUGUCCAAGAUGAUCCCCUAAUAGUGUUAACAUUUUCUGUUUAUACUGGGCAAAAUUUGACCUGGGUGGAAUGAGCAGAGCGUCGCCCUGGCUGUAGCCCCGCUCUAAGAAAGGUUGUGCCUUGGCUAAGCCCCGGUCUAAGCAAGGCUGCACCUUGGCUAUAUCCCCGCUCUAGAUGGGGCGGCGCCUCAAUAUUGCUUUGAGCUACUGGAACUUGCUCUCUGAAUUUUGGUUAAGUGUUGAGUCUUCCCUCUUGAUCCCUUGUCUGGUGGCAUCUUUCCCAUAAAUUCCAAGCCUUUUUAACAUAAAAAUAGCAUCAUAUUCAGCUCCAAAAUCUUCCUACAUAGUCACACCACACGAAUUAAGAAGAAAACACAACACUACAUCCAUAACCACAAAUCAAAACAGGAGCUUCGCUAAGCUAGUUCACAUCGAUUUUUUACUUAUUGUUUCAGCUAUACACUCAUUCAAAUUGAACUUUGCUCAUUACCAACAAGUUAUUCCACUCAUAGUUACAGAUAAAAAUCAUUUGGAACACUUUAAACACAAUAGAAUCCACUGGAAUAAACUAGACAAGCACCUAGCUCAAGCUAGUAAAAUUAGUUUUCUCGGUUGAACUUUAAAUGGUCAAAUUGAAUCAAAACUUGUUUGGAAACAC